CCCAAUUCACCCCCUUCCUUUUUAAUUCUUUCUCCUGGUGUGUCUGCUCCACCGCCCGAGCUAAUCCCCCAAAUCCGGUCUCCUAAGCCGCAGCUGCUUCCCUUCGCAGUGAUGAAUGGCUCGGGGAGGGAAGACCCUGUGUUCGAUGAGGGCCUGCCUGCUGGGCCCUCUGCUCUGCCUGGAGAAACCUGACGUUUGUCCAAAGGAGCAAGAUUGGCCAGACCUGUGGAACUGUCCAGAGAGCCGGCACCUGGGGCUGGCCAGGUUCCUCAAACACAGUGGAACACUUGCAGAUCCGUGUGGUUUUCUCUAUGCAACUCUGAGCAGCCAUUCUUCCGCAAGGUGAAGCUUGAGAACCUCUGAGCUCAGCUGAAAGAAGGAAAUCAGCAUGCAAGUGUCUGGCCCUUCAAGUGAAUCAGAAAAGUCCUAGGGCAGAGUGGGAUGCUAACAGAAACGCAGGUUUUUAGAAAUAAACACCUAAAAUUGUUUGAUGAACCCCACUCGUAGGAGGCAUUGACCGCUGCAGUUGCCACGCCCCAAAAGUAGGUGAAGAAAACACUGCUUUCCUGUUCAUCUCUGCCCUUGGUAUAGACUAGGGGUUGGUACACGAAGUCUCAGGCCAGUUGGUAAUUGGCCUGUUCAAAUCUGGCCCCCUGGCCUGUUAUGGUCAAAUAAAGUUUUAUUGGCAGAAAAAAAAAAAAAAGCACGGCCUCGUGCUUCCUUAUUCCAGACUCCAGCAUCACCAUGCACCUCCCUCCUUCCUCUCGGCAUGUGGGCUGCAUCCCCCCGUCUUCUUUCUAGAGGGAGAAGUGAUUCGAAGCAGGCCUCUGAUGUGGGCCUCACCUCCAUGCAAGGCGCUCCCUUUGGGCCCAGCUGCUCUGCUGGAGCCGGCUUGAAAAUAUGUGUGCCCCCUCCAGGGCAGGCCAGGGCAGAGAAGUGAGCCGGAGGGACCUGCAGACUGAGUGCUGAUCCCCUGAAACCCCCUCCCGCCCUUGGCCAGAGCGCCCCAGCUACCACAGGCGGCCCUGCCUUCAGGGCUGAGUGCUGUGUGAGCCAGUGGGGGAUAACAUGCCCAGCUGGGGCAAAUCCAGCCUCAGCUUCUAUCUCAGACUGACUUUUGUGCCAGGGAAGAAAUUCUGUCUUUGCCCUUUACCUCCCAACCUCUUUGCCCAGCAUAGGUGUUCAAUAAAAUAGCCUGUUGGUUGAAAGGACUCUGCUGUCUGUUCUCUGCGUGAGGAGGACCGGGAUUUAUGUUGCUCUGAGCAGUCGAAGUCCAUUCUGUUUUCUAUAGAUUUCCUUAAGGGUAUCAGACAAACUGGGCCUGCUAGGGAAGGGCCCCCACUCUCCACUCCCUGCCCGUGACUUAGUUCCAG
Molecule: long non-coding RNA, 1373 nt
Filed under: Zalophus californianus (California sea lion)
Lineage: Eukaryota; Metazoa; Chordata; Mammalia; Carnivora; Otariidae
Description: lncRNA (ENSZCAG00015010435.1)
Source: RNAcentral